AACGAACGCUGGCGGCAUGCCUAACACAUGCAAGUCGAACGAGAUCUUCGGGUCUAGUGGCGCACGGGUGCGUAACGCGUGGGAAUCUGCCCUUUGGUUCGGAAUAACAGUUGGAAACGACUGCUAAUACCGGAUGAUGACGAAAGUCCAAAGAUUUAUCGCCAGAGGAUGAGCCCGCGUAGGAUUAGCUAGGUGGUGUGGUAAAGGCGCACCAAGGCGACGAUCCUUAGCUGGUCUGAGAGGAUGAUCAGCCACACUGGGACUGAGACACGGCCCAGACUCCUACUGGAGGCAGCAGUGGGGAAUAUUGGACAAUGGGCGAAAGCCUGAUCCAGCAAUGCCGCGUGAGUGAUGAAGGCCUUAGGGUUGUAAAGCUCUUUUACCCGGGAUGAUAAUGACAGUACCGGGAGAAUAAGCUCCGGCUAACUCCGUGCCAGCAGCCGCGGUAA
This 449-nucleotide ribosomal RNA is filed under the name uncultured bacterium. Its description in RNAcentral is "partial 16S ribosomal RNA". It matches the Rfam family "Bacterial small subunit ribosomal RNA", at positions 29 to 523 of the family's 1533-position model. The record is from RNAcentral.